This 453-nucleotide ribosomal RNA is filed under the name uncultured bacterium. Its description in RNAcentral is "partial 16S ribosomal RNA". It matches the Rfam family "Bacterial small subunit ribosomal RNA", at positions 28 to 523 of the family's 1533-position model. The record is from RNAcentral.
GAUGAACGCUGGCGGCGUGCCUAAUACAUGCAAGUCGAGCGGUAACACUUCGGGUGACGAGCGGCGGACGGCAGAGUAACGCGUAGGAACGUACCCCAAACUGAGGGAUAACUGCUCGAAAGAGUAGCUAAUACCGUAUAAUAUCUCCGGAUCAAAGAUUUAUCGCUGAAGGAUCGGCCCGCGUCUGAUUAGCUAGUUGGUGAGGUAAUGGCUCACCAAGGCUACGAUCAGUAGCUGGUCUGAGAGGAUGAUCAGCCACACUGGGACUGAGACACGGCCCAGACUCCUACGGGAGGCAGCAGUUAGGAAUAUUGGACAAUGGGCGAAAGCCUGAUCCAGCCAUGCCGCGUGUGUGAUGAAGGCCUUAGGGUUGUAAAGCACUUUCGUUGGGGAUGAUAAUGACCGUACCCAAAGAAGAAGCCACGGCUAAAUUCGUGCCAGCCGCCGCCGUAA